CCAGAACCCAAGUGGAUAAAGCAACCACCAUUUUGAAUAUUGCUGGUUUCCAUGGCAGAAGAAACAACUCUGAAGAGUAUUGCAUUGGGGAUGCUGGGCAAUAUAAAGAGUUUUUGAAGAGAACAGCAACUGAUGAUGAAACGUGGUAUUUCUAAUGUGGUGAGGAAGCCGAGCAGAAAUCACCAACUUUGCUGAGACCUGGGAGAAAUACUCACGUCAAGAUCACAAGUGAAGAGGGCAUCAAUUGAUUUCAUUCAAGCCAAGGGCUUUGUGCUGGGAACAUUUAUCCCACAGGAUGAAGCAGUUCCAUUGGGUUCAGCAAACAUUAGCAACUACCUCCUUUGUUCGAAGCACGGGGUUCAGCGCCAGGGAUCCCAUGACAAAUAGCACACAGUCACAAGAAGAGAUGGUGAGAUGUGCACUUUGAGGUAUGGAAGCAGUGGAAGAUACAGGACUCUCAGAUGAUUAAUAUGUGUGUGUAGGGGGUGUGGGGGUGGGCAAGGAAAAGUGCAUGGAGAAUGGCUCCCAAGUUUCCCUUUUUCUCGUGUUUCUCACUGGGCAUUUGGGGUAGGGCAGUCCCUUGGGCAGGUCGCUCCCAUAUACAGCAGGACAUGUAACACUUCUAAACUCAGUGCUGCAUUCUUAGUCAUUCAUUGUGACCCCCCCCCAAAACAUACAUACACCACUUCCGUAUGUCCCUGGAGGGGCUGUUUCCUCUCCUUCCUAUCUGUCCCCCUUCAGAACUACUAACUCUUCACCCUCACCUUCCACACUACAGCCAGAAUAAUCUCUCUUAUCUUCCUAAAAUUACACAUAUCAUCCCAUCCUCCCUCCACCUAACUCCUUCAUUGCCUUGGUAGGUGUCAUAUGAGGUUGCGCCAAGUCUAGGUCCUUCCUAUGUCUCCACCCUCAUCCUUCUCCACUUUCUCCCUGGUCCUUCAUUUUCUCCCACCUAUGCUCCAAAUACACAAAAUCUGCUUGCAUUUGUCUUAGAAAGAGAGCCUAAUGCUCUUUCCCACUGCUGUGCUUUUGCAUGUGUUUUUCUCUUUGGAUGGUCUCCUUUGUCCACCUGGUGAAAUCCUGCUCCCACUGGUUUGAUCACUCUUCCUUAUGAUCACUAGCCUGAACCCAACUUUGGUUUGUCUUGAUCAUACUGCUUGCUGUUAUUUUUUUACUUAGAGCAAACUGUAUAGUAUAGUACUAAUGGCUCAGGUAGAUUAUACGAAUGUGCCCUGCUUUAAUAUUUAACACCUGUAAAUUGGA
Molecule: non-coding RNA, 1263 nt
Organism: Leptonychotes weddellii (Weddell seal)
Lineage: Eukaryota; Metazoa; Chordata; Mammalia; Carnivora; Phocidae
Source: RefSeq, a predicted model, not a curated record